AUAGUACUCCCUCUGUCCGAAAAUACUUUUCAUAGGAAUGGAUGUAUCUAGAUGUNNUUUAGUUCUAGAUACAUCCAUUUGUGCGACAAGUAUUUUCGUACGGAGGGAGUAAUAG
This is a non-coding RNA of Hordeum vulgare subsp. vulgare (domesticated barley), 115 nucleotides long. The record is from Rfam. NCBI's taxonomy places the organism in Eukaryota, Viridiplantae, Streptophyta, Magnoliopsida, Poales, Poaceae.